This 492-nucleotide ribosomal RNA is filed under the name uncultured bacterium. RNAcentral's name for it is "partial 16S ribosomal RNA". It matches the Rfam family "Bacterial small subunit ribosomal RNA", at positions 28 to 507 of the family's 1533-position model. The record is from RNAcentral.
GACGAACGCUGGCGGCGUGCUUAACACAUGCAAGUGGAGCGACGAACCAGGGCUUGCCCUGGGUCAGAGCCGCGAACGGGUGAGUAACACGUGGGUAACGUGCCCCGAUGACUGGGACAACCCGGGGAAACCCGGGCUAAUACCGGAUGUGCCCCCUCACAUCAGUGAGGUGUGUAAAGGAAGCUUCGGCCUCCGCAUCGGGAUCGGCCCGCGGCCCAUUAGCUUGUUGGUGAGGUAACGGCUCACCAAGGCUGCGAUGGGUAGCUGGUCUGAGAGGACGAUCAGCCACACUGGGACUGAGACACGGCCCAGACUCCUACGGGAGGCAGCAGUGGGGAAUCUUGCGCAAUGCGCGAAAGCGUGACGCAGCAACGCCGCGUGGGGGAAGACGGCCUUCGGGUUGUAAACCCCUUUCAGUUGGGACGAAGGUCGGGCGGUUAACAGCCGUUCCGGCUGACGGUACCUUCACAAGAAGCCCCGGCUAACUACGUG